GUCGAACGGUAACAUUUCUAGCUUGCUAGAAGAUGACGAGUGGCGGACGGGUGAGUAAUGCUUGGGAACUUGCCUUUGCGAGGGGGAUAACAGUUGGAAACGACUGCUAAUACCGCAUAAUGUCUACGGACCAAACGGGGCUUCGGCUCCGGCGCAAAGAGAGGCCCAAGUGAGAUUAGCUAGUUGGUAAGGUAACGGCUUACCAAGGCGACGAUCUCUAGCUGUUCUGAGAGGAAGAUCAGCCACACUGGGACUGAGACACGGCCCAGACUCCUACGGGAGGCAGCAGUGGGGAAUAUUGCACAAUGGGGGAAACCCUGAUGCAGCCAUGCCGCGUGUGUGAAGAAGGCCUUCGGGUUGUAAAGCACUUUCAGUUGUGAGGGAAAGUUAGUAGUUAAUACCUGCUAGCCGUGACGUUAACAACAGAAGAAGCACCGGCUAACUCCGUGCCAGCAGCCGCGGUAAUACGGAGGGUGCGAGCGUUAAUCGGAAUUACUGGGCGUAAAGCGCACGCAGGCGGUUUGUUAAGCUAGAUGUGAAAGCCCCGGGCUCAACCUGGGAUGGUCAUUUAGAACUGGCAGACUAGAGUCUUGGAGAGGGGAGUGGAAUUCCAGGUGUAGCGGUGAAAUGCGUAGAUAUCUGGAGGAACAUCAGUGGCGAAGGCGACUCC
Molecule: ribosomal RNA, 670 nt
Filed under: uncultured Gammaproteobacteria bacterium
Lineage: Bacteria; Pseudomonadati; Pseudomonadota; Gammaproteobacteria
Description: bacterial SSU rRNA
Rfam family: Bacterial small subunit ribosomal RNA
Source: RNAcentral